Molecule: ribosomal RNA, 531 nt
Filed under: Cladosporium ramotenellum
Lineage: Eukaryota; Fungi; Ascomycota; Dothideomycetes; Cladosporiales; Cladosporiaceae
Description: eukaryotic LSU rRNA
Rfam family: 5.8S ribosomal RNA (bases 174-327)
Source: RNAcentral
ACCUGCGGAGGGAUCAUUACAAGUGACCCCGGCUACGGCCGGGAUGUUCAUAACCCUUUGUUGUCCGACUCUGUUGCCUCCGGGGCGACCCUGCCUUCGGGCGGGGGCUCCGGGUGGACACUUCAAACUCUUGCGUAACUUUGCAGUCUGAGUAAACUUAAUUAAUAAAUUAAAACUUUUAACAACGGAUCUCUUGGUUCUGGCAUCGAUGAAGAACGCAGCGAAAUGCGAUAAGUAAUGUGAAUUGCAGAAUUCAGUGAAUCAUCGAAUCUUUGAACGCACAUUGCGCCCCCUGGUAUUCCGGGGGGCAUGCCUGUUCGAGCGUCAUUUCACCACUCAAGCCUCGCUUGGUAUUGGGCAACGCGGUCCGCCGCGUGCCUCAAAUCGUCCGGCUGGGUCUUCUGUCCCCUAAGCGUUGUGGAAACUAUUCGCUAAAGGGUGUUCGGGAGGCUACGCCGUAAAACAACCCCAUUUCUAAGGUUGACCUCGGAUCAGGUAGGGAUACCCGCUGAACUUAAGCAUAUCAAUAAG